UUGAAACAUCUUAUUACCCGGAGGAAAAGAGAAAGAAAUUGAUUCUGUGAGUAGCGGUGAGCGAAAGCGGAACAGCCCCAAACCCCUGUCUAUGUUACAGCAUUGACGCGCUGUAGCAGGGGUGUUGUAGGACUUACGUGUGCAGGUCAAUAUGCACGAAGAAGUUACAAAUAGUUGAGAUAGUCGAAUGGUUUUGGGAAAGCCAGCCAAAGAGGGUGAAAGCCCCGUAGACGAAAUUUCAAUUACUUCUGUAAGUAUCCUGAGUACCACGAAACACGUGUAAUUUUGUGGGAAUCUGGGGAGACCACUCCCCAAGGCUAAAUACUACUUAGUGACCGAUAGUGAACAAGUACCGUGAGGGAAAGGUGAAAAGUACCGCGGGAGCGGAGUGAAAUAGUACCUGAAACCGGG
RNAcentral lists this ribosomal RNA (411 nucleotides) under uncultured bacterium. Its description in RNAcentral is "bacterial LSU rRNA". It matches the Rfam family "Bacterial large subunit ribosomal RNA", at positions 193 to 560 of the family's 2925-position model. The record is from RNAcentral.